UGGGGAAUUGUUCGCAAUGGGCGCAAGCCUGACGACGCAACGCCGCGUGGAGGAUGAAGGUCUUCGGAUCGUAAACUCCUGUUGCCCGGGACGAAUAGCUUCGACCUAACACGUCGGAGUAUGACGGUACCGGGUGAGGAAGCCCCGGCUAACUCUGUGCCAGCAGCCGCGGUAAUACAGAGGGGGCAAGCGUUGUUCGGAAUUACUGGGCGUAAGGGCGCGUAGGCGGCCUGUUAAGUCGAACGUGAAAUCCCUGGGCUCAACCCAGGAACUGCGUCCGAUACUGGCUGGCUUGAAUCCGGGAGAGGGAUGCGGAAUUCCAGGUGUAGCGGUGAAAUGCGUAGAUAUCUGGAGGAACAUCAGUGGCGAAGGCGGCCCUCUGGUCCAGUACUGACACUCAAGAGCGAAAGCCAGGGGAGCAAACGGGAUUAGAUACCCACGUAGUCCCUGAGCGGGCUGGCAAGGCGCAU
This 470-nucleotide ribosomal RNA is filed under the name uncultured bacterium. RNAcentral's name for it is "bacterial SSU rRNA". It matches the Rfam family "Bacterial small subunit ribosomal RNA", at positions 355 to 825 of the family's 1533-position model. The record is from RNAcentral.